Ziziphus jujuba (common jujube) is the source of this 1264-nucleotide RNA transcript. It is a transcript of the gene named NDR1/HIN1-like protein 12, with no coding region annotated. The transcript has 4 exons. The record is from RefSeq and is a predicted model, not a curated record. NCBI's taxonomy places the organism in Eukaryota, Viridiplantae, Streptophyta, Magnoliopsida, Rosales, Rhamnaceae.
GAGGUUAUAAAUUUACUGAAGAGCAGUAGAACACUUCAGAAGGAGGAAAAGCCCAAAAACCCAAAACCAGCACCACCUUCUUCCUAAGAUGUCCGACGGAAAACAAAAUGGAAGGACCUAUAGGCCGAGCGACCCACGCAGAGCCUGUUGCACUUUCCUAACCAUACUACUCCUCUUAGCCGGAAUCACGGCCCUAACUCUCUGGCUGGUCUACCGACCCCACAAACCCAAGUUCACCGUCGUUGGCGCCGCCAUCUACGAGCUCAACACUUCUACUCAGCCGCUCAUCUCCACCACAAUGCAGUUCACCGUCGUCACCAGAAACCCAAACAAGCGGGUUUCAAUUUACUACGACAGGCUCUCUGCUUUCGUCUCCUACAGGAACCAAGCGAUCACUCCUCAGGUGUCUCUGCCCCCGCUCUACCACGAGAAAAAAAGCACAGUAGCCCUGUCGCCGGUGCUGGGUGGCGGGACGGUGCCGGUGUCGGUGGAGGUGGUGAAUAGUUUGGCGAUGGAUCAGUCUUAUGGGGUAGUGGGUUUGAGGUUUGUGCUGCUGGGGAGGCUUCGGUGGAAGGCAGGGACUGUAAGAACAGGGCACUAUGGGGUGUAUGUGAAAUGUGAUGUGCUGGUUGGUAUAAAGAAAGGGGUUCUGGGUCAAGUUCCAUUGCUUGGAUCUCCUGGAUGUAAAGUCGAUAUAUGAAAGAAGAUUUUAGGGAAAUCAACCUGUAUGUUUCAACUUUCAAGGCCACUGGGGGGUAUAGCAACGAUGAAAAAACGAAAAAGCUUAUUAAUUAGGUUGGGGACAAAAGCUAGCUAUAGCGGUUGCUUUUGCUUUUGGACACAAAAAAGAUGCACAAAAACGGUGGUGGUGGUGACCAAGUGUUGGUGCCAAGUGACCCGGCAGUAAUUGUACCGUAUGGAAACCAACAAAACCAAAAAAACGUCAUCUUCGGUAAUGGAGAUGUAUUUUAUAUAGGGAUUUUAUCCUUCCCAACAAAGAAUCCUAUCCAAAGGGUAGCCUUAUCUUCUUCACUCCAUGUGCUCCUCUUCAAAAAGUGACACACUGAUUUUCACACUCACAGUUGGAUUUAUUUAGCCUGCUUUAUUACUUUUUUUCAUCUUCUGUUAAAAUUUAUAAACUUGCACAUGUUUGUUAUUGGGAAGAGUUUAUAACUAAGAAACUAAUGACAUAUUCUUUAUUCGUGAGAUAGUAUAUAUCAAAGAUUAAAAGGGUCAGUGGGUAGGGACUCAUUGAUAAUGGGCA